UACUGCUUUCUCUCUCUCCCUCCUGUGCUUGCUCCCGCUGCGCGCUUACGUCAACUAGGAGCACACCUGUAUAUUGAUUACAGGGCGGCGUUCACCUGUAUAAAGAGAAGCCGGGUUCUUUCGUUGGAUUAUUUCCUCCCGAGCUUCUGGUGCGAUACAGCGGUAGACUCUGGCUUGCUGGUUAAAUUACUGAGGUGAUCAGGUCGCGUGAUUGCUACAGCGCGGCUGUUUUUCUUUCCUUUGCUCCAGCCGUGGUGAGGAGACGCGUGAGUGCAUCCGCCGUGCAGUACAGCGCCUCCAAGUUCUGGGGGUUUGAUUGCUGCCGUGCCCUCUCGGGGACCAACCGCCUGCUUUGGUUACGCAGAGAGUCGGGCACCUGCCCUGCUGCUGUCUUGUUUUG
Long non-coding RNA from Oreochromis aureus, 400 nucleotides. RefSeq lists it as uncharacterized. The record is from RefSeq and is a predicted model, not a curated record. Lineage: Eukaryota; Metazoa; Chordata; Actinopteri; Cichliformes; Cichlidae. The transcript is spliced from 3 exons.